RNAcentral lists this ribosomal RNA (2063 nucleotides) under Listeria monocytogenes. RNAcentral describes it as "partial 23S ribosomal RNA". It matches the Rfam family "Bacterial large subunit ribosomal RNA", at positions 1 to 2054 of the family's 2925-position model. Lineage: Bacteria; Bacillati; Bacillota; Bacilli; Caryophanales; Listeriaceae. The record is from RNAcentral.
UUGGUUAAGUUAGAAAGGGCGCACGGUGGAUGCCUUGGCACUAGGAGCCGAAGAAGGACGGGACUAACACCGAUAUGCUUUGGGGAGCUGUACGUAAGCGUUGAUCCAGAGAUUUCCGAAUGGGGGAACCCACUAUCUUUAGUCGGAUAGUAUCCUUACGUGAAUACAUAGCGUGAGGAAGGCAGACCCAGGGAACUGAAACAUCUAAGUACCUGGAGGAAGAGAAAGAAAAAUCGAUUUCCUGAGUAGCGGCGAGCGAAACGGAAAGAGCCCAAACCAAGAAGCUUGCUUCUUGGGGUUGUAGGACACUCUAUACGGAGUUACAAAAGAAAGUUAUAAAUGAAGCGGUCUGGAAAGGCCCGCCAAAGACGGUAACAGCCCGGUAGUUGAAAUGGCUUUCCCUCCAGAGUGGAUCCUGAGUACGGCGGAACACGUGAAAUUCCGUCGGAAUCCGGGAGGACCAUCUCCCAAGGCUAAAUACUCCCUAGUGACCGAUAGUGAACCAGUACCGUGAGGGAAAGGUGAAAAGCACCCCGGAAGGGGAGUGAAACAGUUCCUGAAACCGUGUGCCUACAAGUAGUUAGAGCCCGUUAAUGGGUGAUAGCGUGCCUUUUGUAGAAUGAACCGGCGAGUUACGAUUUGUUGCAAGGUUAAGCGGAAAAAGCGGAGCCGUAGCGAAAGCGAGUCUGAAUAGGGCGCAUAAGUAACAGGUCGUAGACCCGAAACCAGGUGAUCUACCCAUGUCCAGGAUGAAGGUAAGGUAAUACUUACUGGAGGUCCGAACCCACGCACGUUGAAAAGUGCGGGGAUGAGGUGUGGGUAGCGGAGAAAUUCCAAUCGAACUUGGAGAUAGCUGGUUCUCUCCGAAAUAGCUUUAGGGCUAGCCUCGAGGUAAAGAGUCAUGGAGGUAGAGCACUGUUUGGACUAGGGGCCCUUCUCGGGUUACCGAAUUCAGAUAAACUCCGAAUGCCAUGUACUUAUACUCGGGAGUCAGACUGCGAGUGAUAAGAUCCGUAGUCGAAAGGGAAACAGCCCAGACCACCAGUUAAGGUCCCCAAAUAUAUGUUAAGUGGAAAAGGAUGUGGGGUUGCUUAGACAACCAGGAUGUUGGCUUAGAAGCAGCCACCAUUGAAAGAGUGCGUAAUAGCUCACUGGUCGAGUGACCCCGCGCCGAAAAUGUACCGGGGCUAAACAUAUUACCGAAACUGUGGAUGAACCUCUUUAGAGGUUCGUGGUAGGAGAGCGUUCUAAGGGCGGUGAAGUCAGACCGGAAGGACUGGUGGAGCGCUUAGAAGUGAGAAUGCCGGUAUGAGUAGCGAAAGAAGGGUGAGAAUCCCUUCCACCGAAUAUCUAAGGUUUCCUGAGGAAGGCUCGUCCGCUCAGGGUUAGUCGGGACCUAAGCCGAGGCCGAUAGGCGUAGGCGAUGGACAACAGGUAGAGAUUCCUGUACCAGUGCUAAUUGUUUAACCGAUGGGGUGACACAGAAGGAUAGGGAAUCGCACGAAUGGAAAUGUGCGUCCAAGCAGUGAGUGUGAGAAGUAGGCAAAUCCGCUUCUCGCGAAGCAUGAGCUGUGAUGGGGAAGGAAAUUAAGUACGGAAGUUCCUGAUUUCACGCUGUCAAGAAAAGCCUCUAGGAAGAGUAGUACUGCCCGUACCGCAAACCGACACAGGUAGAUGAGGAGAGAAUCCUAAGGUGAGCGAGAGAACUCUCGUUAAGGAACUCGGCAAAAUGACCCCGUAACUUCGGGAGAAGGGGUGCUCUAUUAGGGUGCAAGCCCGAGAGAGCCGCAGUGAAUAGGCCCAGGCGACUGUUUAGCAAAAACACAGGUCUCUGCAAAACCGUAAGGUGACGUAUAGGGGCUGACGCCUGCCCGGUGCUGGAAGGUUAAGAGGAGUGCUUAGCUUCGGCGAAGGUACGAAUUGAAGCCCCAGUAAACGGCGGCCGUAACUAUAACGGUCCUAAGGUAGCGAAAUUCCUUGUCGGGUAAGUUCCGACCCGCACGAAAGGCGCAACGAUCUGGGCACUGUCUCAACGAGAGACUCGGUGAAAUUAUAGUACCUGU